CCUACGGGGGCAGCAGUGGGGAAUAUUGGACAAUGGGCGAAAGCCUGAUCCAGCCAUGCCGCGUGUGUGAAGAAGGCCUUCGGGUUGUAAAGCACUUUCAGUGGGGAAGAAAGCCUUGGGGCUAAUACCCUCGAGGAAGGACAUCACCCACAGAAGAAGCACCGGCUAACUCCGUGCCAGCAGCCGCGGUAAUACGGAGGGUGCGAGCGUUAAUCGGAAUUACUGGGCGUAAAGCGCGCGUAGGCGGUCUGAUAAGCCGGUUGUGAAAGCCCCGGGCUCAACCUGGGAACGGCAUCCGGAACUGUCAGGCUAGAGUGCAGGAGAGGAAGGUAGAAUUCCCGGUGUAGCGGUGAAAUGCGUAGAGAUCGGGAGGAAUACCAGUGGCGAAGGCGGCCUUCUGGACUGACACUGACGCUGAGGUGCGAAAGCGUGGGUAGCAAACAGGAUUAGGUACCCUUGUAGUC
RNAcentral lists this ribosomal RNA (464 nucleotides) under Vreelandella stevensii. RNAcentral's name for it is "partial 16S ribosomal RNA". It matches the Rfam family "Bacterial small subunit ribosomal RNA", at positions 338 to 795 of the family's 1533-position model. The record is from RNAcentral. Lineage: Bacteria; Pseudomonadati; Pseudomonadota; Gammaproteobacteria; Oceanospirillales; Halomonadaceae.